CCAAAAACGGAACCAUCAUCCUUUUUAGAAUAAAUUUAAUUCUACUAAACUUGAUAGACAAAAUUAUUACUAGUUUUAAAGAUUAUGGAAAUUAAAGUAAAUCCAGUCUAAAGCCUUAAAAAAUAUAUAAGCAUAUAUUUAGUAAUGCUAGCAUUAUUAAGGUCAAUACGGUGCCAGCAACCGCGGUCAAACCAUAUUAAUAAAUAAUUCUAAUGUAAUCUAACUUCUAAUAAAUAUAUAUACUUAUAGUGUAUGGUGAAAUGUUACUAUAUUCAAAAGUUAAAUAUAUUUUCUUCAAAGUAUAAUAAAAUUAGGCAGGAAAACUGGGAUUAGAUACCCCAUUAUUCUAAACCCCAAAGUUCUUAGAUUGAGGAGUACAACCACUAUAAACUCAAAAGUUAUGGCGGCUAUUAAAACAUAUUAGGGGAGCUUACCAAGUAAUUGACAACCACCAAGAUAUUCUUCUAUAGUUAAAAGUUUGUAUGCCGUCGUCGAAAAUUUUUCUAAGAAAAAUUUUCUCUAUUUUUAUAUAAAGACAGAUCAAGGUGCAGCUAAUACUUUAGAUUUAAGGCGAGCUACAGUAAUAAUAUAUUUACCCAUGUAAUUUUAAAUUUUUACUGAAGUUGGACUUAACAGUAAGCUACAAGUGAUAAAUAGUAACUGAAUUUUAGAUUUAAUAGUGC
This 683-nucleotide ribosomal RNA is filed under the name Orcula dolium. RNAcentral's name for it is "partial 12S ribosomal RNA". Lineage: Eukaryota; Metazoa; Mollusca; Gastropoda; Stylommatophora; Orculidae. The record is from RNAcentral.